This 460-nucleotide ribosomal RNA is filed under the name uncultured bacterium. RNAcentral's name for it is "partial 16S ribosomal RNA". It matches the Rfam family "Bacterial small subunit ribosomal RNA", at positions 338 to 795 of the family's 1533-position model. The record is from RNAcentral.
CCUACGGGUGGCAGCAGUGAGGAAUAUUGGUCAAUGGACGGAAGUCUGAACCAGCCAUGCCGCGUGCAGGAAGACGGCUCUAUGAGUUGUAAACUGCUUUUGUACAAGGGUAAACCUGAAUACGUGUAUUCAGAUGAAAGUACUGUACGAAUAAGGAUCGGCUAACUCCGUGCCAGCAGCCGCGGUAAUACGGAGGAUCCAAGCGUUAUCCGGAUUUAUUGGGGUUAAAGGGUGCGUAGGCGGAUUGAUAAGUUAGAGGUGAAAUGUCCGAGCUUAACUCGGGAACUGCCUCUAAUACUGUUGAUCUAGAGAGUAGAUGCGGUAGGCGGAAUGUAUGGUGUAGCGGUGAAAUGCUUAGAGAUCAUACAGAACACCGAUGGCGAAGGCAGCUUACCAAUCUAUAUCUGACGUUGAGGCACGAAAGCGUGGGGAGCGAACAGGAUUAGAUACCCGUGUAGUC